CCUAAUAAUAAUAACAAUAAUAUAAAUAUCAAACUUAAUUUACAUGAUUAUCAGAGUCUAGCUCCCAAGUACGUAACCUUUAUUACAUUCAUUACAUAUCAUGAUAGAUAAUAUAUAUCACUGUCUUAAUAGUCUCAAACUAUUACAUAGAAUACCACAAAUCUUAUUUGGUUAGCUUUCCUUUUCCUUUGUUUCUGCAUGAACUUUCUGGUUCUUCACACUUA
RNAcentral lists this long non-coding RNA (224 nucleotides) under Panax ginseng (ginseng). RNAcentral describes it as "long non-coding RNA (PGIN_LNC008557)". Lineage: Eukaryota; Viridiplantae; Streptophyta; Magnoliopsida; Apiales; Araliaceae. The record is from RNAcentral.